CAUGACUGCACAUUAGAAUCACUCGAAAGCUUUAGCAAAUAGUGAUGCCCGGAGCCACUCCUAGGUAUUACAUUUAAUCAGUCUGGGCAUCAACACUGAAAAAUCUCCCAGGUGAAUCUAAUGUGCAAUCAGGGCUGAGAACCACUGAUUAAGCCCAUAUGGUGGUGCUCAGCAAGUGGCAGAAGACUGAGGAGCUUGGCUCACCUUCAGUCCUGGGCUCAGAGAGAAGCAGAGUCCUGACCUCCUUGCCCCAACUGGCCACUCCGGGGCUGGGAUAAGAUGAGCCCUUGGAAGUAGCUCCUAUUCAGGGAGUUUUCUGGUUAGAACUGAUCCCAUCUCUAGAGGCCAAGUCAAAGAUAAAGGAUUUGAGGAAAGACAGAAACUGUCAGCCAUUUUUUUUUGCUUAAUACGGAUCCAUCCUCAAGCAAACAAGAGCUCAGCUACUUGUUCGAAUGAAAGGAUUGAAGCAAACUGAUUCUCACUAAAGUCUGGAUGACUGAGCCCUGCCCAUACCCCAGCAUUCUGGGAUUUGAAAAGAGGCCAUUUGCUGUCCUAGGAUAUCUUUGGUUUGUAGCAUUCCAGGACACCCCAGGACGGCAAGCUCAGAGUGCCUGCUUGGAUCGAGCUGAUGCAAUCAAGACAAAUGCCAACCUGCCUUCUGUCCCUUUGAGCCUGUCCUCCGGUUCCCUGGCCUGCCAGUCAGAGCCGCCUGCAGCAAGCUCUAAAACGUGGCCCUCUCCCCCAUGUUUCCACCAGACACAAAGGGCCGGGCUGGCAAUGCUCUUGUCCAUCAGUGAUGAGCAGUUGGUACCCUGUGCCUGGGGAGGAACUUCUGAUCUCAGCUUGGGGCCUGUCGAUGAGCCAGUGACUGCUGUUCUCACAGAGAACCAGCAGGACACGGUUAAAUCUCUGUCGGAACAUGGCAAAGUGAUGAAUCGUGCUCAUGUUUAUUCCAUGGUUUCAAAGGCAGCCAUCUAAUGUUUAAGAGCACGGGGACAAUAAAUGAACAGACAGUUUGGUGGAGAACAGAAGAGGUGGACACAGCCAUGAUUUGCUACCUAGUAGACGGACUUUAUUUUAUUUUAUAUGGCUCAGGUGUAUAGCUUGAAAGACCCCUAAAGUAUAGUAAGACUUGGAUAAGCUCCAUUGUGCUCCAAAUUUGGGAAGCAGUGCCUUAUGCUAAUAAUGUUUUUGUAAGAAAAUAGUCUCCUUUUCAUCAGCAGAUUGUCCCUCAAAUUAGUUGAAGCCUGGAGGCCUUAAAUUAAAAAAACAAGAAAUUACAAUGCAGCAGAUUGAAUUUAGGUUCAUGUGUUGUGUUUGAAAUACAGGAGUGGCUGUUGAAGGCCUGAUUUAAAAUGAAUGGUGGGUUCCUUAUGCAGGAUCCCCUGAAUAUCUGGUUAUUUGCGUUGAAAGCUCGGCCUUCCUUCACCAUGACCACGGCUUGCCCUCCAGGCCAGCCUGAGCUGGCAGGACCACACCAGAGUCUGUGCUGAUGCCAUUACACCUGCUGGAACCUUCUCCUGAACUGCUGUCCCUGCCCAGCUCGGAUGAGGCAGGUCUAGCUUGGAGUCCCAUUCCCCUCUUGGCCUCAACAAGAGAAGUG
RNAcentral lists this long non-coding RNA (1603 nucleotides) under Equus caballus (horse). Its description in RNAcentral is "lncRNA (ENSECAG00000054501.1)". Lineage: Eukaryota; Metazoa; Chordata; Mammalia; Perissodactyla; Equidae. The record is from RNAcentral.